Molecule: ribosomal RNA, 1379 nt
Filed under: Mycobacterium sp. CDMC
Lineage: Bacteria; Bacillati; Actinomycetota; Actinomycetes; Mycobacteriales; Mycobacteriaceae
Description: bacterial SSU rRNA
Rfam family: Bacterial small subunit ribosomal RNA
Source: RNAcentral
CGGAAGGCCCUUCGGGGUACUCGAGUGGCGAACGGGUGAGUAACACUUGGGUGAUCUGCCCUGCACUUUGGGAUAAGCCUGGGAAACUGGGUCUAAUACCGAAUAUGACCAUGCACUUCCUGGUGUGUGGUGGAAAGCUUUUGCGGUGUGGGAUGGGCCCGCGGCCUAUCAGCUUGUUGGUGGGGUAAUGGCCUACCAAGGCGACGACGGGUAGCCGGCCUGAGAGGGUGACCGGCCACACUGGGACUGAGAUACGGCCCAGACUCCUACGGGAGGCCAGCAGUGGGGAAUAUUGCACAAUGGGCGCAAGCCUGAUGCAGCGACGCCGCGUGAGGGAUGACGGCCUUCGGGUUGUAAACCUCUUUCAGCACAGACGAAGCGCAAGUGACGGUAUGUGCAGAAGAAGGACCGGCCAACUACGUGCCAGCAGCCGCGGUUAAUACGUAGGGUCCGAGCGUUGUCCGGAAUUACUGGGCGUAAAGAGCUCGUAGGUGGUUUGUCGCGUUGUUCGUGAAAACUCACAGCUUAACUGUGGGCGUGCGGGCGAUACGGGCAGACUUGAGUACUGCAGGGGAGACUGGAAUUCCUGGUGUAGCGGUGGAAUGCGCAGAUAUCAGGAGGAACACCGGUGGCGAAGGCGGGUCUCUGGGCAGUAACUGACGCUGAGGAGCGAAAGCGUGGGGAGCGAACAGGAUUAGAUACCCUGGUAGUCCACGCCGUAAACGGUGGGUACUAGGUGUGGGUUUCCUUCCUUGGGAUCCGUGCCGUAGCUAACGCAUUAAGUACCCCGCCUGGGGAGUACGGCCGCAAGGCUAAAACUCAAAGAAAUUGACGGGGGCCCGCACAAGCGGCGGAGCAUGUGGAUUAAUUCGAUGCAACGCGAAGAACCUUACCUGGGUUUGACAUGCACAGGAACCUGGUAGAGAUAUCAGUUCCCUUGUGGCCUGUGUGCAGGUGGUGCAUGGCUGUCGUCAGCUCGUGUCGUGAGAUGUUGGGUUAAGUCCCGCAACGAGCGCAACCCUUGUCCUAUGUUGCCAGCGGGUUAUGCCGGGGACUCGUAGGAGACUGCCGGGGUCAACUCGGAGGAAGGUGGGGAUGACGUCAAGUCAUCAUGCCCCUUAUGUCCAGGGCUUCACACAUGCUACAAUGGCCGGUACAAAGGGCUGCGAUGCCGUGAGGUGGAGCGAAUCCUUGUAAAGCCGGUCUCAGUUCGGAUCGGGGUCUGCAACUCGACCCCGUGAAGUCGGAGUCGCUAGUAAUCGCAGAUCAGCAACGCUGCGGUGAAUACGUUCCCGGGCCUUGUACACACCGCCCGUCACGUCAUGAAAGUCGGUAACACCCGAAGCCGGUGGCCUAACCCCUGUGGAGGAGCCUAACCC